RNAcentral lists this long non-coding RNA (1166 nucleotides) under Dromaius novaehollandiae (emu). RNAcentral's name for it is "lncRNA (ENSDNVG00000011535.1)". Lineage: Eukaryota; Metazoa; Chordata; Aves; Casuariiformes; Dromaiidae. The record is from RNAcentral.
AUGUUAAGUAACUGUGUGACUGCCAACAUGUUACAGGAACUGGAAGAGAAGUUGCAGUUCUUCACUAGUUAUGAGACUGGUUUCCCUCAGGGACUUGUGAAUAUGCUGACCUGUAAUGGGAGAGAAUUCACUGAGGGGACUGAUUAUAAUAAAUGGUGCCAGAAGUCACUAGCAUGCAAAAGUAUGAGAUCCAGGAGAAGCCRGGCCUUGGAGGAAGCUAAGAAUGAUGUUCCCGGGUCCAAAUGUAUGCAGCAUGAACUCCUGGCCAUCAGAAAAGACCAAUACAAGAGGAGCUUUGCUCUGUCAGCCUGCACUGCAGAGGAAAAAAGAAAUGCUGAGGCAGCAUCAAACRCGCCUCUAGGAAAUAAAGCUCCUGUUGUGCAAAACCAUGCCAGCCAGUCACCUGUCACAAUCAGCUUCUCACUGUCAUCCAGAAUUUGUGAGGAAAGAGGUUGGAUUUGCCAGCCUUCUGACUCAAGUUCUGAAGAUCCUCAGAAGCUGCCUUAUGUGUGGGCCCUGAAGAGACUACAACAAAUUCAAAAACAAAUAAAAGAGCAAGCAUCCAAGCAGAAGGAAGCAGGGUUUGAUAAACCAAUUAUUUUCCGGCAUUAUGGUGAUCACAGAGAAGAAACUUUGCCGAAGACAUGGAAGGGUCAGACUGGCAUGACUGUCACACCAGAGCUGCUGUAUGGCAAACCUCAGACCCCUGUGGCCAAGAAAACAGACUCAGCACAGAGAAAACUGCAUUAUGAGCUGAAUGAUGGCUCAUCUUUGAUUUACUAUCCUUCUGAAUAUCUUGCUGUUUGCCAAAGCUACUGCAAUCUCCCAGGUGGGGGCUUGUGUACCAACAUAUUUAGCCCUUCUCUGGAUCACUCUAUAGUUGGAACUUUCACCCCUUUUGGACAUGGCAGUAUCUGUCUUCCUAGCAGCAACACCGUAACACUGAUGUUUAAUCAGGAAGGAGGUCUGGUGACUAACAAAGAUGAAGAAAUGGCCAGAGAGUGGAAAUGGCCUCGGGACGGCAAGCUUGCCAAGCCAGUUAUAAUACAGGUUAAUGAAUACAUCACAGUGAGGAUUGCAGGGCGCUUUGCAAUUGGCUUGAUCUACAAGUGGCAACAAGAAAGUGUGUGCUUGUCUUUGUCACCACUGCGGGGUGCGGCUCUUCC